GCUGCUGCGGCUUCCGUCGAAAAGCAGAAGCGGCCUCACCCCUCCUUUUAAAAGCCAGAAGCCAGGAUAUCACUGUAGCGCUGGUGACUGUAGAUUAAUGAAGUUUCGAAAAUCACCGGUUGGGGGGGGGGGGGGCUUUUUAGCUCCCCCGCUUAUAAGCAGAAGAUGGAGAAGCGUUUGGUAACCCAGCUUCUUCUAAAAGCUGCUGCGGCUUCCGUCGAAAAGCAGAAGCGGCCUCACCCCUCCUUUUAAAAGCCAGAAGCCAGGAUAUCACUGUAGCGCUGGUGACCGUAGAUUAAUGAAGUUUCGAAAAUACCGGUCUCUAUCCUCCCUUGGUUGAAGCAAUUACUCGAUUGCCAUGAAACCCUUCCUUCUAUCCUAGUCGCUGCAUCAAUCUUUCUCCCUCUCAUCACAGACGCGGCAUCAAACACACCCUCCCUCUGACGCCGCCUCAGCCUCUCAUCACGAUUUCGGGUUGGAAGUCGAAGGCUCAAUCAAGGAUGCUUGGCAAUUUGAUUCAGAUAUUGUACUGAAGCUGAUGUCUCACAAGCUUCAGGAGAAAACAAUGAGUUUCACCCCAGAAAGGUCUUAUGAUUAUUGAAUAAUGUCUUAGACAUUCUCUAAUGUACAUCAAUAUGUAAUUUUGUGAAUUUCAUGUAUUGCUUUGGUGAAGAUGUAUGAACUUGACGUUAAAUAGUAAUUUUUCUCUUUUGUUAGCGUUUUUCA
Rosa rugosa (rugosa rose) is the source of this 726-nucleotide long non-coding RNA. RefSeq lists it as uncharacterized. The record is from RefSeq and is a predicted model, not a curated record. The transcript has 2 exons. NCBI's taxonomy places the organism in Eukaryota, Viridiplantae, Streptophyta, Magnoliopsida, Rosales, Rosaceae.